RNAcentral lists this long non-coding RNA (478 nucleotides) under Gallus gallus (chicken). Its description in RNAcentral is "long non-coding RNA NONGGAT006783". The record is from RNAcentral. Lineage: Eukaryota; Metazoa; Chordata; Aves; Galliformes; Phasianidae.
GAUGAAGGCCACUAUGUGGUGAAUAGCUGCUGCAAUAAUGGCAUGGAGCUGGGACCAGGCUACAGGAUGAGCUGGGCUAGACAGUGAGUUGGACAUACCUGCUAUGAGUGCUGAAAACUUCAGCAAAAGUGGAGUUGAACCCUUUUGUUUCCUCAACAUGAAAUCAUGGUUGAACAGCAGUGAUUCUGCUAAGUUUGUUAGCUCUACUUGGCAAGCGUUUCAGAGCUAUCCUACAGAACAGACUGAUAUGGAUGGAUUGGUAGAGAGGGAAGACAUUAUUAGCCCAUGGUUUCACGGAUUCACAUAUACUCCAAAAUGUCAAGAAAGAGAGCAACAGAUGUAAGAAAGCCUAAAUUCAGUCCUGAUCUCUGUUAUACUCUGAAGAGUCUAUUCAUGAGAUUAUUAAAGAUGAAGCUGAUCAGAUACCUUUGGUAAUGCCUACUACAUGUGCUAUGAUAUUAUUUCACAGGACAUCUUG